RNAcentral lists this ribosomal RNA (497 nucleotides) under uncultured bacterium. Its description in RNAcentral is "partial 16S ribosomal RNA". It matches the Rfam family "Bacterial small subunit ribosomal RNA", at positions 28 to 507 of the family's 1533-position model. The record is from RNAcentral.
GAUGAACGCUGGCGGCGUGCCUAAUACAUGCAAGUCGAGCGAACAGACGAGGAGCUUGCUCCUUUGACGUUAGCGGCGGACGGGUGAGUAACACGUAGGUAACCUACCUAUAAGACUGGGAUAACUUCGGGAAACCGGAGCUAAUACCGGAUAAUAUUUCGAACCGCAUGGUUCGAUAGUGAAAGAUGGCUUUGCUAUCACUUAUAGAUGGACCUGCGCCGUAUUAGCUAGUUGGUAAGGUAACGGCUUACCAAGGCAACGAUACGUAGCCGACCUGAGAGGGGGAUCGCCCACAGGGGAACUGGAACGGGGUCCAGACCCAGGGGGGGGGCAGCGGAGGGAGAUCUGCCGCAGGGGGCAAAAGCCGGCGGGAGCACCGCGGGGUGGGGAAUAAGGGUCUGGGGACGGAAAACCUGUUUUAUGGGGAAAAAAAAAAGGGGAAAUAACCUGUGCCGGUCUUGAGGGUACCUAAUCAAAAAGCCACGGCAAAUGACGGG